Molecule: non-coding RNA, 69 nt
Organism: Nephila pilipes (giant wood spider)
Lineage: Eukaryota; Metazoa; Arthropoda; Arachnida; Araneae; Nephilidae
Source: the annotation of a GenBank genome assembly
GCAUAGCUCAGUGGUUAGAGCGUUGGUCUUGUAAACCAAAAGUGGCGAGUUCAAAUAUCGCGUUAUGUU